AGCUAAAAAACAAAAAUUGUGUCCCAGUUUCGACCUGGUAUUAUGGCUAUUUUAAGCCUUUAGCU
RNAcentral lists this transfer RNA (65 nucleotides) under Spongicola levigatus. Its description in RNAcentral is "tRNA-Arg". The record is from RNAcentral. Lineage: Eukaryota; Metazoa; Arthropoda; Malacostraca; Decapoda; Spongicolidae.